UGACUAAUACACUUUAUAUCUUAUGUAAAUCUUCAUCCUGUCCAGCACCAUGACGAAGACCCAUUACAAUACAAUAUAAAGGAGAUGCAUAAAGAGAUAAUAGAGCAUUGCAUAGCAUUGCCUUCAGGAAAAAAAUAAUAUACAUAUCUACACGAUGAUGAUGCUGGGCCUCGGAGCAGGCACACGAGAGUGGCUCCAAACCCGAAUCCGCAUGCAGGAACUUAUCACGACGAAGGACCACGACGACCACGAGGAGGAGGAGUGGGAGGACCAAGCAGAGGCACACGACGAAGACGACGACGAGUAGGGUGGGGGAGCAAGUAGUAGUAGUAGGGCUUUCGAGUGUGGGUUUACCAGCGAUCGACCCUAGAAAGCUUCUUCAACCCAACUAGCUAGCUAUGCAAGAUUCUGCCAUCGAUGCAGAGCC
This 427-nucleotide long non-coding RNA is filed under the name Physcomitrium patens. RNAcentral describes it as "long non-coding RNA (PPAT_LNC011554)". The record is from RNAcentral. Lineage: Eukaryota; Viridiplantae; Streptophyta; Bryopsida; Funariales; Funariaceae.